This 204-nucleotide long non-coding RNA is filed under the name Mytilus galloprovincialis (Mediterranean mussel). Lineage: Eukaryota; Metazoa; Mollusca; Bivalvia; Mytilida; Mytilidae. The record is from RNAcentral.
GCCCCCUUUUGAGAUACAUAUAUGCUGUGUAAAGAAAUCGAUAUAGAAACACUUUAACAGACAAUCCAGAUAUUGACCUAAUUUUUCAUCCGACAUCUUGGGAUGACCGUGAAUGCGGUUUCGGUCAUCAGCUUUAACCCAGUGAUAUUGACAUCUACAUUAAUGUGUAUGUGGGUGUUUGUCUCUUAGUGGUCGUAAUAUUCU